RNAcentral lists this ribosomal RNA (733 nucleotides) under Salmonella enterica subsp. enterica serovar Dublin. RNAcentral's name for it is "partial 23S ribosomal RNA". It matches the Rfam family "Bacterial large subunit ribosomal RNA", at positions 504 to 1223 of the family's 2925-position model. Lineage: Bacteria; Pseudomonadati; Pseudomonadota; Gammaproteobacteria; Enterobacterales; Enterobacteriaceae. The record is from RNAcentral.
UGAGGGAAAGGCGAAAAGAACCCCGGCGAGGGGAGUGAAAAAGAACCUGAAACCGUGUACGUACAAGCAGUGGGAGCACAGGUUUACCUGUGUGACUGCGUACCUUUUGUAUAAUGGGUCAGCGACUUAUAUUCUGUAGCAAGGUUAACCGAAUAGGGGAGCCGGAGGGAAACCGAGUCUUAAUUGGGCGUUAAGUUGCAGGGUAUAGACCCGAAACCCGGUGAUCUAGCCAUGGGCAGGUUGAAGGUUGGGUAACACUAACUGGAGGACCGAACCGACUAAUGUUGAAAAAUUAGCGGAUGACCUGUGGCUGGGGGUGAAAGGCCAAUCAAACCGGGAGAUAGCUGGUUCUCCCCGAAAGCUAUUUAGGUAGCGCCUCGUGAAUUCAUCUCCGGGGGUAGAGCACUGUUUCGGCUAGGGGGCCAUCCCGGCUUACCAACCCGAUGCAAACUGCGAAUACCGGAGAAUGUUAUCACGGGAGACACACGGCGGGUGCUAACGUCCGUCGUGAAGAGGGAAACAACCCAGACCGCCAGCUAAGGUCCCAAAGUCAUGGUUAAGUGGGAAACGAUGUGGGAAGGCCCAGACAGCCAGGAUGUUGGCUUAGAAGCAGCCAUCAUUUAAAGAAAGCGUAAUAGCUCACUGGUCGAGUCGGCCUGCGCGGAAGAUGUAACGGGGCUAAACCAUGCACCGAAGCUGCGGCAGCGAACGUAUCACUUAAAGCGAUUCAGCG